RNAcentral lists this ribosomal RNA (460 nucleotides) under uncultured bacterium. Its description in RNAcentral is "bacterial SSU rRNA". It matches the Rfam family "Bacterial small subunit ribosomal RNA", at positions 29 to 521 of the family's 1533-position model. The record is from RNAcentral.
AACGAACGCUGGCGGCAGGCCUAACACAUGCAAGUCGAACGCCGUAGCGAUACGGAGUGGCAGACGGGUGAGUAACGCGUGGGAACAUACCCCUCGGUUCGGAAUAACUCAGGGAAACUUGAGCUAAUACCGGAUAAGUCCGAGGUUUUAAUCGACCUUGGAGAAAGAUUUAUCGCCGGAGGAUUGGCCCGCGUCUGAUUAGCUUGUUGGUGAGGUAAUGGCUCACCAAGGCGACGANCAGUAGCUGGUCUGAGAGGAUGAUCAGCCACAUUGGGACUGAGACACGGCCCAAACUCCUACGGGAGGCAGCAGUGGGGAAUAUUGGACAAUGGGCGAAAGCCUGAUCCAGCCAUGCCGCGUGAGUGAUGAAGGCCUUAGGGUUGUAAAGCUCUUUACCCGGGAAGAUAAUGACGGUACCGGGAGAAUAAGCCCCGGCUAACUUCGUGCCAGCAGCCGCGGU